GCAUUGCUGACGAGUCCGAAACAGGACGAAACAGCUGUCCAGUGC
This 45-nucleotide non-coding RNA is filed under the name Echinostoma caproni. The record is from RNAcentral. Lineage: Eukaryota; Metazoa; Platyhelminthes; Trematoda; Plagiorchiida; Echinostomatidae.